This 84-nucleotide transfer RNA is filed under the name Phyllymenia taiwanensis. RNAcentral describes it as "Grateloupia taiwanensis tRNA-Tyr". It matches the Rfam family "tRNA". Rfam says of the family: Transfer RNA (tRNA) molecules are approximately 80 nucleotides in length. Their secondary structure includes four short double-helical elements and three loops (D, anti-codon, and T loops). Further hydrogen bonds mediate the characteristic L-shaped molecular structure. tRNAs have two regions of fundamental functional importance: the anti-codon, which is responsible for specific mRNA codon recognition, and the 3' end, to which the tRNAs corresponding amino acid is attached (by aminoacyl-tRNA synthetases). tRNAs cope with the degeneracy of the genetic code in two manners: having more than one tRNA (with a specific anti-codon) for a particular amino acid; and 'wobble' base-pairing, i.e. permitting non-standard base-pairing at the 3rd anti-codon position. Lineage: Eukaryota; Rhodophyta; Florideophyceae; Halymeniales; Halymeniaceae. The record is from RNAcentral.
GGAGGGAUGGCUGAGUGGUUGAAAGCGAUAGACUGUAAAUCUAUUUACACUUUGUAAUCGUAGGUUCGAGUCCUACUCCCUUCA